Molecule: ribosomal RNA, 500 nt
Filed under: uncultured bacterium
Lineage: Bacteria
Description: partial 16S ribosomal RNA
Rfam family: Bacterial small subunit ribosomal RNA
Source: RNAcentral
AUUGAACGCUGGCGGAAUGCUUUACACAUGCAAGUCGAACGGCAGCACGGGGGCAACCCUGCUGGUGAGUUGCGAACGGGUGGGUAAUACAUCGGAACGUGCCCAGUCGUGGGGGAUAACGUAGCGCAAGAUACGCUAAUACCGCAUACGAUCUACGGAUGAAAGCGGGGGACCGUAAGGCAUCGCGCGAUUCACGCGGCCGCUGUCAGAUUAGGUAGUUGGUGAGGUAAAGGCUCACCAAGCCGACGAUCUGUAGCUGGUCUGAGAGGACGACCAGCCACACUGGGACUGAGACACGGCCCAGACUCCUACGGGAGGCAGCAGUGGGGAAUUUUGGACAAUGGGCGCAAGCCUGAUCCAGCCAUUCCGCGUGCAGGACGAAGGCCUUCGGGUUGUAAACUGCUUUUGUACGGAACGAAAAGGCUCUGGUUAAUACCUGGGGCUCAUGACGGUACCGUAAGAAUAAGCACCGGCUAACUACGUGCCAGCCGCCGCCGUAA